UUGAUAUGCAAAAAAAAAGUUACGAGUGACAAUGUAAACCAAACUUAAUGAUACCAAAAAAAUAUAUAUGUAAACCCAACCCAGCUAAACCCUCGAUAAAAACACACACACACACAGGCACAUUAGUAUACAUAAAACUGCAUUGCAUAAGUGUAUGUGUGGAUGUACGCAUGAAGAAUUGCAUAUGUAAUUCACACCCACUCACAACUGCCAGCCUACCACCACCACCACCACCACUGCUACUACUGCCACUACCACCGCCAUCACCACCUGCCCACCUACCCACCACCUCCCAGAGCCAUGGAAUAGAAGAGUUUGCCCACUGUCAUCUGAGGCGCCAUGCUGUUUACCAGAAGAAUCGUACAAAAUUCAUAUUAAUAGUAUUACAGUACAGUACGUUUUUGUUUGUUAUUGUGCUGUACGUACUUUUUUGAGAACCUGUUGAUACCCACAGCACACAGAUACACACACACACACACACAAAAAAAAAACAUUUGUAACGGCAUAAAAGUUUUCUUUAUUUGUUUUUAUUACAAAGAAAGCAGCUCAAGGGUAAAAAUAUGUAAAGUAAAAGUAGAAGGAAAGUAAGAGAAGAUUGUAGAGGAAAGUAGAACAGAGUAGAGAAAAGUUAAGAGGAGGAGGAGGAGAGGAAAGGAAAGGAGAUAAAGAGUUAAUUUUACAUGGUGCCUGUUAUGAAGCUUAGGGCCAAACUCUCUUAUUUUAUGCCUCUCGCCCCAUCCACGCACCUGCCCUGCCCACCCCCACCACACCCACACCCUCCGCCCCCGCCCACACCCGCCACACUCCUCCACGUGGUGCUAAAUGUACACAAGACGUAACAUAACAUAAAAAAUAAUAAAGCCCGUACGAGCGUAACCGUAAACAUGUAAGCAAGGAAACUUCAGUGUGGCGUCGGUAUUUCUCUAGCCUAGGACACUCCCGUAGAGCAUCGCCGCUUGACCGCUUCAGGGCCGCCCACGCCUCACUGCAAAGGUGCAAGCAUAGCCGUAAUACUUAAGGGCGUAUCGCUACCUGUUAAUAAUACCUGUCCGUACCUACCUUCAUACCUCCCCACCUUCCUUCCUUUACUAUGUUAUGUGUGGAAGGAAGAGAGAAAUGUGAGAGAAAGAUGAGUUAUUUAUGUGAAGGGGCGAGUGUAAGAAGAAAAGAUAAAUGGAGAAUGAGGAAAGACAGUGAGAGGAGAGAAACAAGAAAGAGAGAUAUGCGAGAGAAAGAUGAGCUAUUUAUGUGAAGAUGAGAGUGUAAAAAUAGAAGAUAAAUGGAGAAUGAGGAAAGACACAGUGAGGAGAGUGAUCAAAUGAGAGAUAAAGGAAACGAACCAAGGACUCAAGGACAAACAGAUUAAGUAAACGAGAGGAAGAAAAUAAGAGAUGUAAACAAUAUAUAAGGGAAUGAAAUGGAUGAUUCUACCCCUUGAAAAAUAUAUAAACGACAGACACAGCAAAUGAUAAAGAUGGAAACAAAAGACAAUCAUGAUACUCGGCAAAGUUAUUAAAGAAAAGAUAAUGAGUAGAUAUUAAAGCUUAAAAAGCACCACUAAUACAUAUCGACAAGGUAAUGAAGUUCUUUUAUAUGCAUAGUUACUGCUGCGCUUGUAUAGAAAUAUGUAUAAGGAAGGGGAAGAUAUAGAAACAUAGGGAAGGUGGAGUUUUAGUGUAGGGGAAUGCAUGGAAAAAUAGUGAUGUUUAUAUAUGAAUGUGAAAGUUUUUGAUGCACUGAAAGCUUUGGAAGGGAGAGAAUUAGUGUUAAGGUUUAUGGGAGGAAUAGUGAUGGUUUUGAGGUAAUGUUGAAGGCUUGGAUGAGUUUGUGGUGUUGUGGUAAAGGAGAAAAAGAAUGUUUGUAGAUUUGUGAAGAAACUAUAGGGAAGGGAGAGAAUUAAUGUUAAGGUUGUAUGGGAGGAAUAGUGAUGGUUUUGAGGUAAUGUUGAAGGCCUGGAUGAGUUUGUGGAGUUGUGGAAAAUGGAAAUAAGGAAUGGAGAUGAAAUAAAAGACCCAUGUUUGUAGAUUAGUGAAAAAAAGAAACUACAGAGAAGGGAGAGAGUUAGUGUUAAGGUUGUCUGGGAGGAAUAGUGAUGGUUUUGAGGUAAUGUUGAAGGCUUGGAUGAGUUUGUGGAGUUGUGUUAAAGGAAAAUAAGGAACGAAAAGGAAAAGAUUAGACCCAUGUUUGUUGAUUAGUGAAAAAAAGAAACUAUAGGGAAGGGGAAGAUAUGGAAAGGAAGUUAGUAUUAAGGAAAUGUGGGAAGAUGUUGAAGGCUUGAGUGAGUUUGUAGUCGUGGAAAAGGUAAAUAAGGAAUAGAGAAGAAAAAGAUAGACCCAUGUUUGUAAAUUUGUGAAGAAGAAACUAUGUAAAUACCAUGUAAUCAGAAAGCCAUUGACUAUAGAAUUUAAUAUAGUUUGUAAUGAAGAGGAAGAGUAAAUAAGCAUGCAAUAUAAAAGUUAAUGAUUUGAGAGAGAAAGAAGGAAAGACAUAGUUUAAGAAAUAUCAAACAUCUUAGGAAUAAAGGAAAAUAUGUAUUCAGAAAACCAUUAAGUAUAGGAUUCAAUAGUUUGUAAUGAGGAGAAAAGGCUUAUACAGUGCAAUAUCUUAUGUAUUCAGAACCUCAAUAGGAUAGGAUCGUUAUAUGAGAUUAGGGCGGAGUGGAAAAAUUUGGGCGGCUUUUCCGAUACCCUACGCCCCUGUCCACCCAGCAGUGAAUGGGUACCAGGUAUUAAUCGGGGGUUGUGGCCCGUCUCCUUGGAUCUGUUCCUUUCUCCUAUAGUUCCUUCCCCUUCUGUCUCUCUCCGGCAUAUGACUACAGAUGUUGCGCCGACUAAAUGAAACUUUCUGUAUGAGAUUAUAAAACGUCCCUCUAUUCUCAGAUGCUUUCGGCUCACAACAACCAUUUCCCAAGGCCACGAAGGAGGUUAGUCAAGUUCUCAAGAGUAUUUUUUUCAUGUCCAUGGGGCAGAAACCUUGUCAAACUAUCACUAGGCUCAUAACACUACCCAUGGAAAUACUAACACAACAACCUCUACCAAAGCCUUGUCAAACUAUCACUAGGCUCAUAACACUACCCAUGGAAAUACUAACACAACAACCUCUACCAAAGCCUUGUCAAACUAUCACUAGGCUCAUAACACUACCCAUGGAAAUACUAACACAACAACCUCUACCAAAGCCUUGUCAAACUAUCACUAGGCUCAUAAAACUACCCAUGGAAAUACUAACACAACAACCUCUACCAAAGCCUUACCAAAUGUCUUUGUGUGAGCCUCUGAGAAUAUGUGCCUCUGUAUACAAGGUGAUGGGGGGUUAUAAAAUGAUUGUUAUUGUUUGCCUGAGAGGAGAAAACAUGUCGAGAAAGAGGAGGAAAGUGGAAGAAAUAUGAGAGUAGAAGAAGAAAUGGUUUGUUCCUGUUUGUUUAAGAGUAGGAAAUAAGAAAGGUGUGUGGGUGCGUUUGUGUGUAAUCCCCGAAAUGUGAGGAUAUGGGUCUUGAGAAGUGUAUAUACGUAUUGUCAAACUUUGAAUGGUGGCUGAAAAGUUACAAUAAAGGGUUGUUGAUGAA
Molecule: long non-coding RNA, 3565 nt
Organism: Eriocheir sinensis (Chinese mitten crab)
Lineage: Eukaryota; Metazoa; Arthropoda; Malacostraca; Decapoda; Varunidae
Exons: 2
Source: RefSeq, a predicted model, not a curated record